AUGGAUAUGUCAGUUGGUGUGUUAGUUUGGAAUGUCAGGGGGCUUAAUAACCCUGCUAGGCAUAGCUCUGUCCGUUUGUUUCUGCAAUCUUGCAAUGCUUCCCUUGUUUGUUUCCAAGAAUCCAAAUUGGUUGUGCUGGAUAAUGGGACCGUUGGGCAAACUUUAGGCCCAGCCUUUGAUGGUUUUGAUUUUCUUCCAGCUGAAGGAACUAGAGGGUGGAUUUUGCUUGCUUGGAAGUCAGAUGUGCUGCUGGUUUGUACGGAACACAAAGGGGAAUUCUCUGUGACCAUUAAGAUUACUUCCUUAGCGGAUGGUAAAGAAUGGAUGGUUACAUCGGUCUAUGGGCCUCAAGACAAUGCAGAUAAAAUCAGAUUCCUGGAGGAAAUUGUGGAGUUUGGGAGGGAUAUUCAGCUACCAUGGAUCCUGAAUGGGGAUUUUAAUUUGGUUUGCAGUGAAGAGGAGCGCAGCACACACAUGAUCAACAGGAGAUUGGCAAACAAAUUCAGACACACCAUUAAUACCAUGGGCCUUCACGACAUGCCGCUGGUGGGUAGGAGAUUUACCUGGUGCAAUGAUCAAGAAAACACUGAUGGCCAGAUUGGAUCGUUUACUAUUUAA
This 618-nucleotide ribosomal RNA is filed under the name Triticum aestivum (bread wheat). Its description in RNAcentral is "partial small subunit ribosomal RNA". Lineage: Eukaryota; Viridiplantae; Streptophyta; Magnoliopsida; Poales; Poaceae. The record is from RNAcentral.